CUCCACACUCGUCACCGCUGAAGACGUUAAGGAGGGAGGUGGUGGCCAAGUCCAUGGGCGUCACUCUCAUGUGAUUCACUAAAGAAAAAACACAUCAGGAGUUAGCGGUGUUAACAUUCACUGGACUGACAUUUUCCUACUGAAACUGAGGCAAACUAAGACCCAUGUUUUGAGGCAGAUCUGAGAUCAGCAGUUUCUGCUGCACUAGAGUUCAGGAUGUGUCACUUGACUUCACCUCUUCUUAAAAGAAAAAGUUCAGUUCAGGGCCGUUUGUCUGAUUCCCUCAUCCGCAGUUUGGACACGGGUGGAGGUGUGAUGGAGGAGAAGACAAUUCUGACCCUGCAGGGGAAUUUCAUUAGACGGAGACCUCCCUGGACGAGACUGAUAAGAGCAGAGGAGGACGCUGAGGAGGAGGAGAGGGAGGAGGAGGAGAACAGGGCUGUGUUUGACCAAAGACAGCCCUUACUUGUUAUCUCCAUGGAGGAGGACGGGAAAGACAGAGGAGUCAAGAGAGCAGAGCCAAGAGGAGAAGAUUAAAAGAAAUAAGAAGUCACCUGAUCGCCUCAGCACACGGAGGGCUGUCGGAAAGAGGAAGUCUCCAGGACCAUGGCCCGGGUGUGUCUGGAGACACUUCAUGUAGUGAUACUGCCACUGUUCUGAAGCAACAGUACACACUUUAAACCAUGAGUAACAACACCAAGACUUGUCUGCACGGGUUCAUAUGGCCGUUUUACUGUUUCAUUUCUUAAGCUGUCAUGGAUCAUGUUGUUAUUUUCUGUGUUUUAGUCAAGUUUUCUGCUCUGCCCUCAGACCAGACUACGACUGCCUGUUACGUCCUCUCUGGUGGGAAGACCCUCAGCAUCACUCCGGUGGAUAAGAUGUGAAACACGGAGCUCCUCUCACACCAGUGACUGCUGUGUGUGUGUCUGUGUGUGUGUGUGUGUGUGCGUGUCUGUGUUUGUUUGUUGGGAACAUAGGUUGUAGUGGUUAAUUGCUUUUUAGUUUUUUGUGCAUUUUUUUGUGAAGGUAGGGCUAAAUAUACACACACACUGUUACUCACAUAACAGAUGUC
Molecule: long non-coding RNA, 1072 nt
Organism: Cynoglossus semilaevis (tongue sole)
Lineage: Eukaryota; Metazoa; Chordata; Actinopteri; Pleuronectiformes; Cynoglossidae
Exons: 6
Source: RefSeq, a predicted model, not a curated record